CGGACAGGAGGGAGCUUGCUCCCUGAUGUUAGCGGCGGACGGGUGAGUAACACGUGGGUAACCUGCCCGUAAGACUGGGAUAACUCCGGGAAACCGGGGCUAAUACCGGAUGCUUGUUUGAACCGCAUGGUUCAAACAUAAAAGGUGGCUUCGGCUACCACUUACAGAUGGACCCGCGGCGCAUUAGCUAGUUGGUGAGGUAACGGCUCACCAAGGCGACGAUGCGUAGCCGACCUGAGAGGGUGAUCGGCCACACUGGGACUGAGACACGGCCCAGACUCCUACGGGAGGCAGCAGUAGGGAAUCUUCCGCAAUGGACGAAAGUCUGACGGAGCAACGCCGCGUGAGUGAUGAAGGUUUUCGGAUCGUAAAGCUCUGUUGUUAGGGAAGAACAAGUGCCGUUCAAAUAGGGCGGCACCUUGACGGUACCUAACCAGAAAGCCACGGCUAACUACGUGCCAGCAGCCGGGGUAAUACGUAGGUGGCAAGCGUUGUCCGGAAUUAUUGGGCGUAAAGGGCUCGCAGGCGGUUUCUUAAGUCUGAUGUGAAAGCCCCCGGCUCAACCGGGGAGGGUCAUUGGAAACUGGGGAACUUGAGUGCAGAAGAGGAGAGUGGAAUUCCACGUGUAGCGGUGAAAUGCGUAGAGAUGUGGAGGAACACCAGUGGCGAAGGCGACUCUCUGGUCUGUAACUGACGCUGAGGAGCGAAAGCGUGGGGAGCGAACAGGAUUAGAUACCCUGGUAGUCCACGCCGUAAACGAUGAGUGCUAAGUGUUAGGGGGUUUCCGCCCCUUAGUGCUGCAGCUAACGCAUUAAGCACUCCGCCUGGGGAGUACGGUCGCAAGACUGAAACUCAAAGGAAUUGACGGGGGCCCGCACAAGCGGUGGAGCAUGUGGUUUAAUUCGAAGCAACGCGAAGAACCUUACCAGGUCUUGACAUCCUCUGACAAUCCUAGAGAUAGGACGUCCCCUUCGGGGGCAGAGUGACAGGUGGUGCAUGGUUGUCGUCAGCUCGUGUCGUGAGAUGUUGGGUUAAGUCCCGCAACGAGCGCAACCCUUGAUCUUAGUUGCCAGCAUUCAGUUGGGCACUCUAAGGUGACUGCUGUCCG
This 1108-nucleotide ribosomal RNA is filed under the name Bacillus subtilis. RNAcentral's name for it is "bacterial SSU rRNA". It matches the Rfam family "Bacterial small subunit ribosomal RNA", at positions 67 to 1158 of the family's 1533-position model. The record is from RNAcentral. Lineage: Bacteria; Bacillati; Bacillota; Bacilli; Caryophanales; Bacillaceae.